GCCUGGCUCACAUUUUCCUUAAAAAAAAAAAAAAAGAGAGAGAGGACUGUUUUUAGAAGGCUGCACUAAUAGGGGGGAGGUGGAGGAGAUUCGGGUCGGUGCGCCGCGGGCUCGCCCCGCUCGGGGAUGCGCGUGGGGCACACAGACAGCCAAAAGGCCACGAAAGCUGCAGGCCCAGCGACAGCCUGUGCCACCCUGACCAGGAAAACGCAUGGAGGAUUGUUCUCAUGCCAUCCUAUCACCAACGCCAUGUUGGUGCCCGGAGCUGGGCCCAGCAGCGCGCUGCAGCGCACGGUUCAAGCUCCGCCGGCUCUUUCAUAAGCGGAUAGAAAGGAAGGGAAAUCUCACCCGUUUGUGCCUCUGUCAAGUAUCUUCUGCCUCAUUUCCUGAAGUUAUUAGCUCUCUUUUAUUGGGUUUGGCUUGCAGGAGGAUGACUAUUUCAUCCAUCAAAUCAGAAUCUUUUUAACGCUAAUACCGAAUUUAUAGAAGUGGUUAAACGAAGUGUUGACAAUAUGGACAAUGUGUUUCUGAUUAACGCCGCAAUUUAAAGUGGAACUGCCAACUGCCUGGAGUUACUAAAACAGCGCCGCGUUUUUCCAGGCCCCGCGGGCCGGAGCUCCGCGUCGCAGCGAGCAGAUGUCGGCACCACGCUGCACUUGCGCUGAUGGCCUCUGCCACCGGGGCUCCUCCCCAUAAGCUUUGCGUUCCCUCUGCUGAUGAUCGUGUUUGUCCUUUGCUCUUCCCCUUUGGGUGCGUUGGCGUUUCAGUUUCCUAGCUUUUCCCUGCCCCACGGAGCAGUGCUGUUGGGCACUGGGUGCUCUCUGGUUCCCAGUGCUCAGCAUCACUCCCACGGCACAAGCACCCAGCGUGGGGAUGGGACAGAGCGCAACAGCCGGCCCCUUUCUCUUUGAAGGACAGGAAAGCAGACUCAAAUAUCCCAAUAAUUAAUUAUAUCUUUCUUAAUAUUGUGAGAAACAAAGGGAGCUGUGCCCAUAGAACGACAACAGGAACAGAUGGAGAGCGGGGAGCGCAAGCAGAGCUGAGCCAUCGCCGCAGCAUCCAACACAGCAGUGCGAUCGCAGCCGGCUUGAGAAGUACCACUUCCACCUGAAACCUCCUCUGAGAACACUCACAGGAGUGGGAGCUUUGAUCCCCUCCCUCCCUUUGCUCGUUAAUCGCCCUCAGUUGCAAUACCGAACUUCUGAAAUUCAACAGCUACUAAAACAUAAGGCAUUGAGGGCUUGGAAAGUCUCGCGGAGUUGGAGGUUUUGCAGAAUGUUUUGGCUCCUCCAGGUUCAGAGCUGGCAUGCGAGUUCAGGAGUUCUCAUUUAAAGCUGCUGGGUUUGCAUCGUGUUCGAGGGUGGUUCGGGUUUGGAACAAGCAAUAUCUCUUCCCCGUGCACAGCGCAGGAUCAGACCAGUACCCCCCUACUUCCCAGUAGCAUCCUCGUGCUGCCAGCCCACACCCCUACGCUGCACAGCCUCUCUCCUUCCUGAGCUCAGGGGGGAUCCACUGCAAAUUAAUGGUGAUUGAGCUAUGCUAAUGGCAGUCCCACUGUUUACCCCCUGCUGAUGUUUGCAAGGGCAUUCAGCUGGUGUCCCUCUUAGCAGUAUAAAUUUCACCUGUGCUGAAGGAGCUGAGGGCACUGCAGCAGCAAAUCUCUGGUGUUUGGGGGCUCUGUAAGACCAGGCUCAGCCCCAGGUAAUGCCAAGGAGGGGAUGAUUUCCAGGCUGGCCCUCCUUCCCUGCCCAUCCCCUGCGUGCUCCAGCCCCUGUCUGGCCUUGUUUAAGAGUCAGUUUCAAUAGUACCUUUGUUAAGGGUGAAAUCUCAUUAAAUGUGAGGUAAGAGGAAAUGAAAAAGUGUAAAAUAUCCAGAUUUAUUACCUGUUGUCUUCUGAGCAUUUGAAAAUCAGGAGCUGGGGGCAAGAGGGUGAGUGGUAUCAAAGCUCUGAGCCUUAACGUUGCUGCCUUCUGCUCUGAGGGCACUGCUUGCUUGUAGCGCUGUUUUAUUGCAGGGGAGAUGAGUUUCAUGCUAUUUAGGAUAAAGAAGAAUUGGCCCUAACGCACACAACCGCUGGCUCGGAGCUCCGUUAGCCCACGCACAUGCAGGUAAGGAUGUCUAUUUGUUAAACUCAGAAUUUUCCCUUGGUUCAAAGGGAAAGAUUUUCCAGGGUAAGCGUCGCCUCUGUUUUUCGUCUUUCAAAAGUGAGCAGAGGGGCAGAACCCUCUGGAUUAGCGUGGAGUUUAAUAGCACUGCUAGUAAGGGAGCGAGCCACAGGGCCUGGCUGAACACUGCUCCUGCACGUUGCACCCCAAGUUCUCCCAGCAGUGCCCUGUGUCUCCCACCCCCUGCAGCAAGCCAUGCAGGGACAGCAGGAACUGCUGCCUCCAUCCCUGCUUCGAUGCAGCCCUGGGCAGCUUUUGGCCCUGCACCCACUGUGUGCGAUGGGAGCAGCGUUGCUCAUCUCGGUCCCCGGGUUGCUCCAUCCUGCUCUAUGCCCGGUGCUCUUAGAACACUGCUCCUGGUAUGUGCUACGCCUGUAGCUGGAGCUCUGCCUCUCACCUUCGCUGUACUUGUCGGAUUGAUGCGCUGCUCGCUUUAGUCCUUUAAACGAAUUAGUUGGUGGGGAGUAAUGAGAUAAUUUGUGAUGUACGGGGUGGUGGAGGCACCUGUGACAAACGCGUCACCCCCGGGCCGGGAACAGGAGGGGCUGAGCGCUGCUUCCCGAACACGCUCCAGCUCCCGGCUCGCUGUUGGGCCGUUACCAUGGCAAACAGCCUCCCCCCUCCCCUUCUCGCGGCCCUCCGGCUGUACCAUCAGCACAUCGGUAUUUCUGUACGAGCACACAGGAAGGGAGCGCGGAGACGUUGCAGGUGCUGCCUUUGGCCGGGCCCCAGAGCCGGGCCGGGCCGCGGGGACCGCACGCCCUCCAGAGCCCGGGUCGGGUUCGGCAGCGCCUUUGUGCUCGGGGCCGCGGUGAGACAAAGGGAUCCGGGCUGCGGCGGAGAGCAGGGCCCGGCGCUGCCGCCGGGGGCUCCGAAGGGUUCCAGGGCCUUCGUCUUUUAGCCCUUCGGUUCUCGAACGUGGCCUCUGAGACACAAAUGACCGCAGGAGGUGGGAUAACAAGCUGUGCCUUGCUGAGGAGCAAGAUCUGCGAUAGCCCCGGGUGAACUCUCGGCCUGGUGGAUGCCCUGAAGGCAGAGAGAUGCAGCAGUCUGUUGUUUCAAAUACAGGCUGCCGAGCAGAGACGGUGCCGGAGAGGAGGAGAAAUGUUCCUCUGAAAUAUGAAGAGUUCCUUUGGGCCUUUGAAAGAGCUGAAGAGGAGACACGAACCUGAAUUUGGAAUUACAUUUUAAUCCUUCCUGCAGCCUUUUAAAAUAUCACAAGGAGCGAGGCUUCGCUAUCCAAACCAUCGGAGCGGGGCGCAACCUUCUCUUUAAUGGGAAGCGAAGCCGAGCUGGCACGAGAGCAGCACGCAUCCGAACGCGGCUUUCCGCAGUCAGCAAAACCAAGGCAGAAAAUGACUGUUGGAUUACAUCACAUAUUUUGGGAGGCAUUGAGCAUCGGGAGAGUGACGUUGCACCCUCCUCCAGGUGGUGUCCGGAGUAACCGAUCCCCAGUGGUUCCCCCGAGCUGCCACCAUCCCAUUCCACCCACGGCAGCACUGGAGUGAUGCUGUGAUUGCUUCAGCUCUGGAGCUGCUGGCCCCCACAUGGACCCUGCCCAUGGCUGCAGGUGGGAAGAUGCAGCAAGGCACCUCGUUUGCUGAAACCAUCAUUUGAGGAGACAAGCUGCCAUUUCGCACCCUUGAAAAGCACAUGAUAUGACAGGUGAAAUGUCAGAAAUGAGACUCAAGGCUUGGGGAAAACAUUCUUCAGCUGUGAAGUAUUCCUGCUAGGAAAGUUAAAUUAGAGAUUAAAUGUAAAUGCCUGUAAAAGCCUGGAACACAGCACACUUCAUCAGCCCCCGUCCUGCCACGUGCACAUACAUUGCCAUGCGUGCACGUGCUGGGGCCAUUUGAAGCCCAUUGCAGUGCCCUGCAGCUCUUUGGGAACGGGUGCACAGGGAUUUGGCACAGCAAGGAGGCCUGCAGUGGCUCUCAGAGCUCCCUGACCCCACUGUAUGGGCAGUGUCACCCUGCCUUGUCGAGGUGCUACCAUGGGAUGCUCUGGCCAUGGUGGCCCUGCUGCAUGUCGGGGCGGAUCGCCUUGCAUGGCCGUGCUGCAUCCAUCAGCCAAUAAACAGUUCAUUGCGUGGGAAGAAUUAUCUUCGCUGGCAUUAAGGUCGGCUGUAAGGCGGACAUUAUUACUGGCGGGAGGCAUAGAAGUGCAAUCUGUGUCAGAUAGCAGCCUGUAACUCUUUAUUAUUUACACCGACGCAGCCGUGUUCCUGGGGACGGAGGUGGGAUGGCUGUGCUCACCUGGCUGCCCAUACAAAACCUGGCCGACUUCUGGGACCCAGUGGGGUGCUCACCCCAUGGCUGUGCCCACCUUCUCCCUGCCCUGGGCCACCAGUGAUGCUCGUGAGGGUCAGGGGGUGCUGCCGACAUUGCCGCGGCAAUCACGGCUUCCUUCCACACUUUUUGAAAUUAAAAUGUGCCUCCGCUGGAAGUUGUUAUCAAAAAUAGAAGCAUUUUAUCUAUCUUUAGUACAGAACACAGAUUGCAUGGAGACAUUCAAUUUGGAGUCAAUUUAAAUUUCAAUUGUCUGUGAAAUCUAAAUCAAUAGGCUAUAGUUCAAUGGCGCUUUAAUAAAACAGGACAUAACAGAGAAAUCAUUAGGGAUUACAUAUGAUAAGAGAUUGAAAACAGUGUCUGCGUAAUGGUGGGGGAGCCAUUAGAGAAUUACCUCAAGCAUUUGCAAGUAAACCAACAACCUUUUUCUCCUCCUGAGACUAACAAGAAGACUUAAUCGUGCCGCAGUGCCUAAAAAUACAUCUCUGUCAGCCCUUGGAUUGGGCGUGAUUCGCCGUGACACCCAACUGCUGUGCAGCCUAGGGUGAGGUGGGGGUGGCUGGGGGGCAUGGAGCCCGGUGGUGGGAUGGGAAUGUUGGG
This is a long non-coding RNA of Numida meleagris (helmeted guineafowl), 5053 nucleotides long. RefSeq lists it as uncharacterized. NCBI's taxonomy places the organism in Eukaryota, Metazoa, Chordata, Aves, Galliformes, Numididae. The record is from RefSeq and is a predicted model, not a curated record. The transcript has 7 exons.